AGCUCCAAUAGCGUAUAUUAAAGUUGUUGCAGUUAAAAAGCUCGUAGUUGGAUUUCUGGUAGGAGUGACCGUUCCGGACUUGAUUGUCUGUGUAUUGUGUUGUCUCCAGCCAUCCUUGUGGAGAACUUUUCUUGCAUUAGUUUGUAGGGAUUGGGACCCGCAUCGUUUACUGUGAAAAAAUUAGAGUGUUUAAAGCAGGCAAUCGCUUGAAUACAUUAGCAUGGAAUAAUAAGAUAGGACUUUGGUACUAUUUUGUUGGUUUGCAUACCAAAUUAAUGAUCAACAGGAACAGUUUGAGGAUAUUCGUAUGAACAUGUCAGAGGUGAAAUUCUUGGAUUUUGAUCAGACGAACUACUGCGAAAGCAUUUAUCAAGGAUGUUUUCAUUAAUCAAGAACGAAA
Molecule: ribosomal RNA, 400 nt
Filed under: phytoplankton environmental sample
Lineage: Eukaryota
Description: partial small subunit ribosomal RNA
Rfam family: Eukaryotic small subunit ribosomal RNA
Source: RNAcentral